RNAcentral lists this ribosomal RNA (468 nucleotides) under uncultured bacterium. RNAcentral's name for it is "partial 16S ribosomal RNA". It matches the Rfam family "Bacterial small subunit ribosomal RNA", at positions 28 to 507 of the family's 1533-position model. The record is from RNAcentral.
GACGAACGCUGGCGGCGUGCUUAACACAUGCAAGUCGAACGAAAAGGCCCGGCUUUUGUGGGGCGCUCGAGUGGCGAAAGGGUGAGUAACACGUGAGUAUCCUGCCCUUGACUUUGGGAUAGCUCCUGGAAACUGGGGCUAAUACCGGAUAGGAGCUCCUGCUGCAUGGUGUGGGUUGGUAAGUUUCGGUGGUUGGGGAUGGACUCGCGGCUUAUCAGCUAGUUCGGGGGGUGGUGGCGUACCAAGGCUAUGAAGGGUAGCCCGCCUGGGCACGAGACCGGUGACUGUUGGCCUGAAUGAGGCUCCAGACGCUAACGGGAGGCAAGAGUGGGAAAUAUUUCCUAAUGGGCUGGGGCCUGAUGCAGCGAACCCCCGACCGGGAAGCCGGCUUUCGGGUUGUAAACAGAUGUUGCCUGUGAUGAGGAGGGAGUGACGGUACUGGAUAAAAAAGCACCGGCUAACUACGUG